RNAcentral lists this transfer RNA (80 nucleotides) under Ralstonia syzygii subsp. syzygii. RNAcentral's name for it is "tRNA-Gly". The record is from RNAcentral. Lineage: Bacteria; Pseudomonadati; Pseudomonadota; Betaproteobacteria; Burkholderiales; Burkholderiaceae.
CCGGCGGUCGUCAGGGCCGGCGUCGUGGUGCCGCUCCCGUCGGUUCCGUUGCUGCCACCGUUCGAGCUGGUGCCGCCGGA